ACGGAAGGCAGCCUUGGGGAAUAUUGCACAAUGGGCGCAAGCCUGAUGAAGCGAUGCCGCGUGAGGGAAGAAGGUUCUCGGAUUGUAAACCUCUGUCAACAGGGACGAAAAUGACGGUAACUGUGAAGGAAGCUCCGGCUAACUACGUGCCAGCAGCCGCGGUAAUACGUAGGGAGCAAGCGUUAUCCGGAAUUACUGGGUGUAAAGGGAGUGUAGGCGGGACUGUAAGUCAGAUGUGAAAUAUGCCGGCUCAACUGGCAGACUGCAUUUGAAACUGCGGUUCUUGAGUGAAGUAGAGGUAAGCGGAAUUCCUAGUGUAGCGGUGAAAUGCGUAGAUAUUAGGAGGAACAUCAGUGGCGAAGGCGGCUUACUGGGCUUUAACUGACGCUGAGGCUCGAAAGCGUGGGGAGCAAACAGGAUUAGAUACCCUGAUA
This 434-nucleotide ribosomal RNA is filed under the name uncultured Ruminococcus sp. RNAcentral's name for it is "partial 16S ribosomal RNA". It matches the Rfam family "Bacterial small subunit ribosomal RNA", at positions 341 to 792 of the family's 1533-position model. Lineage: Bacteria; Bacillati; Bacillota; Clostridia; Eubacteriales; Oscillospiraceae. The record is from RNAcentral.